UUGAAACAUUUGUUCCUGUAUGAUCACUGAAGUUAAGCAAUGUCGAACCUGGUCAAUACCUAGAUGGGUGGCCACUUGGGAAUACCACGUGCUGUAAG
Non-coding RNA from Acanthosepion pharaonis, 98 nucleotides. The record is from the annotation of a GenBank genome assembly. NCBI's taxonomy places the organism in Eukaryota, Metazoa, Mollusca, Cephalopoda, Sepiida, Sepiidae.